Polyodon spathula (Mississippi paddlefish) is the source of this 1023-nucleotide long non-coding RNA. RefSeq lists it as uncharacterized. The transcript has 2 exons. NCBI's taxonomy places the organism in Eukaryota, Metazoa, Chordata, Actinopteri, Acipenseriformes, Polyodontidae. The record is from RefSeq and is a predicted model, not a curated record.
CAGACAGACAGACAGACACACACAGACAGAUGGACAUGCACACGCAGACACAGACACACACACACACACACGUGGGGAGCACGACCCUUUAAACAGACGCUCAGUGUGUGCAGUUCAACAGGCGCCGCUGCCCAGCUCAGGAUUAAUGGGACGAGAUCACCUGGGAUCCCCACAAGCCAGCAGUGAAUCUGGGUCGGCAGCCAUCAGGCAGGAGAGGAACCCCCAGCAGCACAGUUCAGACAAACUGCCAGUGUUGGGGCCCCAGUGAACUGUCCUACCACUCGAAGAACCCGCACUAACGCUCUGUAAUCCCUGCCUGAGACCUCAUCACCAGACUGAGGCAGCAGUAUCCCUCCCCACCACAAGAAGAAGGAACUACUUGUUAAGGAACUACUUUCUACACCAGCAGAACACAAAAGAAUGAUGAGAUAACGCAAUGCACAUUCCAGAUCUUGACAUGUAACUGCAGUAACCCCGCCACAUCGAGGGACGAUAUUACAAGCCACUUAUUUAUUUACCAAGAAUGGAUCAGGUUUUUUUUAUAAAGUAUUGCAGAACACAGCAUCAAUUUUGAAAACUAUUUUACAGACUCACUGCUUGUAAGCUGGCGCCCUUCAUCAAACAGCUCAAGGAUGUUUCUGUUUUGCUCUGAUUAGGGGCACAUGGUAAUCCAACACUACUUGGAAUGUCCCAGUAGCUAGAGAAGAAAACGAUUCAGUGGCCAAAGCGAGACUGACUGGGAUCGCUGUCUGGAGUCCAGGGAGACACUGAUUCACUGUUUUCUUUUACUGUUAGUUUGCACCAGACCUAAUGAAAAAAAACCUGAAUCCAGUCCAGCACCUUACUGAGCAGGCUGUGUGUUCAGAGACGGUCCUGCAUCAUCCCCCCCCCCACACACACACACACUGGGACACUUCGACAGGCACAGACUGUGCUGCUGUGUUGUUGUGUGCGUUGUGGAGGACAUGUUUGGAUUUUCCACAGAGAGACCAGUCUGCAAUAAAACCUGGAUUUGAAUCUCAA